UUCGUCAUCUCAACUAUAGAGACGUAAACGAAUCAAACUCAAAUCGUUUAGGGAUUGUGCAAAAUUCUAAACUUGGAACUUAGUCACUCUUACUGGUUUUCUGUACAAUGAAUUUGAAGAAUAUAAACUAACCUGUUGUGGCUUGGCUUGAUGAAAUGAACUUCUUAACUACAAAAUUAUUGCCGAAGCACUAACAAAUAUCUGGAGUUUGUACAGUCUUACAGAUCAAGCACUCAUAUUGAUGGAAAUCCUUGUAUUCCCGAAAAGGAAAAA
Molecule: long non-coding RNA, 273 nt
Organism: Ipomoea nil (Japanese morning glory)
Lineage: Eukaryota; Viridiplantae; Streptophyta; Magnoliopsida; Solanales; Convolvulaceae
Exons: 3
Source: RefSeq, a predicted model, not a curated record